This 515-nucleotide ribosomal RNA is filed under the name uncultured bacterium. RNAcentral's name for it is "partial 16S ribosomal RNA". It matches the Rfam family "Bacterial small subunit ribosomal RNA", at positions 28 to 523 of the family's 1533-position model. The record is from RNAcentral.
GAUGAACGCUGGCGGCGUGCCUAAUACAUGCAAGUCGAGCGAAUGGAUUAAGAGCUUGCUCUUAUGAAGUUAGCGGCGGACGGGUGAGUAACACGUGGGUAACCUGCCCAUAAGACUGGGAUAACUCCAGGAAACCGGGGCUAAUACCGGAUAACAUUUUGAACCGCAUGGUUCGAAAUUGAAAGGCGGCUUCGGCCGUCACUUAUGGAUGGACCCGCGUCGCAUUAGCUAGUUGGUGAGGUAACGGCUCACCAAGGCAACGAUGCGUAGCCGAACUGAGAGGGUGAUCGGCCACACUGGGACUGAGACACGGCCAAGACUCCUACGGGAGGCAGCAGUAGGGAAUCUUCCGCAAUGGACGAAAGUCUGACGGAGCAACGCCGCGUGAGUGAUGAAGGCUUUCGGGUCGUAAAACUCUGUUGUUAGGGAAGAACAAGUGCUAGUUGAAUAAGCUGGCACCUUGACGGUACCUAACCAGAAAGCCACGGCUAACUACGUGCCAGCCGCCUCGGUAA